RNAcentral lists this ribosomal RNA (269 nucleotides) under uncultured prokaryote. RNAcentral's name for it is "partial 16S ribosomal RNA". It matches the Rfam family "Bacterial small subunit ribosomal RNA", at positions 524 to 792 of the family's 1533-position model. The record is from RNAcentral.
UACGGAGGAUCCGAGCGUUAUCCGGAUUUAUUGGGUUUAAAGGGUGCGCAGGCGGAAGAUUAAGUCGGUGGUGAAAUUUUGCAGCUCAACUGUAAAAGUGCCAUUGAUACUGGUUUUCUUGAGUGUGGAUGAAGUAGGCGGAAUUUGUGGUGUAGCGGUGAAAUGCAUAGAUAUCACGAGGAACUCCGAUUGCGCAGGCAGCUUACUAAACCAUAACUGACGCUCAGGCACGAAGGCGUGGGGAUCAAACAGGAUUAGAUACCCUGGUA